RNAcentral lists this ribosomal RNA (496 nucleotides) under uncultured Variovorax sp. Its description in RNAcentral is "bacterial SSU rRNA". It matches the Rfam family "Bacterial small subunit ribosomal RNA", at positions 401 to 912 of the family's 1533-position model. Lineage: Bacteria; Pseudomonadati; Pseudomonadota; Betaproteobacteria; Burkholderiales; Comamonadaceae. The record is from RNAcentral.
GGAGUGAAGAAGGCCUUAGGGUUGUAAAGCUCUUUCAGCGGGGACGAUAAUGACGGUACCCGCAGAAGAAGCCCCGGCUAACUUCGUGCCAGCAGCCGCGGUAAUACGUAGGGUGCAAGCGUUAAUCGGAAUUACUGGGCGUAAAGCGUGCGCAGGCGGUUAUGUAAGACAGUUGUGAAAUCCCCGGGCUCAACCUGGGAACUGCAUCUGUGACUGCAUAGCUAGAGUACGGUAGAGGGGGAUGGAAUUCCGCGUGUAGCAGUGAAAUGCGUAGAUAUGCGGAGGAACACCGAUGGCGAAGGCAAUCCCCUGGACCUGUACUGACGCUCAUGCACGAAAGCGUGGGGGAGCGAACAGGAUUAGAAUACCCUGGUAGUCCACGCCCUAAACGAUGUCAAACUGGUUGUUGGGUCUUCACUGACUCAGUAACGAAGCUAACGCGUGAAGUUGACCGCCUGGGGGAGUACGGUCGCAAGACUGAAACUCAAAGGAAUUG